CUCGUAGGCGGUUCGUCGCGUCCGGUGUGAAAGUCCAUCGCUUAACGGUGGAUCCGCGUCGGGUACGGGCGGGCUUGAGUGCGGUAGGGGAGACUGGAAUUCCUGGUGUAGCGGUGGAAUGCGCAGAUAUCAGGAGGAACACCGAUGGCGAAGGCAGGUCACUGGGCCAUUACUGACGCUGAGGAGCGAAAGCAUGGGGAGCGAACA
This 207-nucleotide ribosomal RNA is filed under the name uncultured bacterium. RNAcentral's name for it is "partial 16S ribosomal RNA". It matches the Rfam family "Bacterial small subunit ribosomal RNA", at positions 568 to 774 of the family's 1533-position model. The record is from RNAcentral.